GUGGGGAAUAUUGGGCAAUGGGCGAAAGCCUGACCCAGCAACGCCGCGUGAAGGAAGAAGGUCUUCGGAUCGUAAACUUCUAUCCUUGGUGAAGAUAAUGACGGUAGCCGAGAAGGAAGCCCCGGCUAACUACGUGCCAGCAGCCGCGGUAAUACGUAGGGGGCAAGCGUUGUCCGGAAUGAUUGGGCGUAAAGGGCGCGUAGGCGGCCUGGUAAGUCUGGAGUGAAAGUCCUGCUUUUAAGGUGGGAAUUGCUUUGGAUACUGUCGGGCGUGAGUGCAGGAGAGGUAAGUGGAAUUCCCGGUGUAGCGGUGAAAUGCGUAGAGAUCGGGAGGAACACCAGUGGCGAAGGCGACUUACUGGACUGUAACUGACGCUGAGGCGCGAAAGUGUGGGGAGCAAACAGGAUUAGAUACCCGUGUAGUCC
This 425-nucleotide ribosomal RNA is filed under the name uncultured bacterium. Its description in RNAcentral is "partial 16S ribosomal RNA". It matches the Rfam family "Bacterial small subunit ribosomal RNA", at positions 354 to 796 of the family's 1533-position model. The record is from RNAcentral.